RNAcentral lists this ribosomal RNA (184 nucleotides) under uncultured bacterium. RNAcentral's name for it is "partial 16S ribosomal RNA". It matches the Rfam family "Bacterial small subunit ribosomal RNA", at positions 1317 to 1500 of the family's 1533-position model. The record is from RNAcentral.
UUCAUGAAGCUGGAAUUGCUAGUAAUGGCAGGUCAGCAUACUGCCGUGAAUACGUUCCCGGGCCUUGUACACACCGCCCGUCACACCAUGAGAGUUGGAGAUACCCGAAGCCUGUGAGCUAACUGUAAAGAGGCAGCAGUCGAAGGUAGAGCCAAUGAUUGGGGUGAAGUCGUAACAAGGUAUC